This 253-nucleotide ribosomal RNA is filed under the name uncultured bacterium. Its description in RNAcentral is "partial 16S ribosomal RNA". It matches the Rfam family "Bacterial small subunit ribosomal RNA", at positions 524 to 776 of the family's 1533-position model. The record is from RNAcentral.
UACAGAGGGUGCAAGCGUUAAUCGGAAUUACUGGGCGUAAAGCGUGCGCAGACGGUUGCGUAAGUCAGAUGUGAAAGCCCCGGGCUCAACCUGGGAAUUGCAUUUGAGACUGCAUAGCUAGGGUGCGGAAGAGGGAAGCGGAAUUUCCGGUGUAGCGGUGAAAUGCGUAGAUAUCGGAAGGAACACCAGUGGCGAAAGCGGCUUCCUGGUCCAGCACCGACGUUCAGGCACGAAAGCGUGGGGAGCAAACAGG